This is a long non-coding RNA of Cryptomeria japonica (Japanese cedar), 1525 nucleotides long. RefSeq lists it as uncharacterized. The transcript has 3 exons. The record is from RefSeq and is a predicted model, not a curated record. Lineage: Eukaryota; Viridiplantae; Streptophyta; Pinopsida; Cupressales; Cupressaceae.
UCUAUGUUUGUGUGCUAGAUGGAACUCUAAAGGUUCAGAUUAUGUAUUCUCUUCUUCCCUAGUUAAGAGGGAGUGUUGUUUGUAACUAGGGUAAUAUAUGGGUUCGGAUUUCCUUAAGGAAACAUCCGAACCCAUUUAGGACUAGGCCCUAUCCUAAAGGGUAAUGUGCACAUACAAGCAAGAGGUAACAUAUGUCAAUACUGAUAACAAAAGUUCUACCUUCUGAAACUCACAUUUACAUUGGAGUUUGACUUGAAUUAUCUGACUUUGAUUCCUUCAUACCCUGUGAAACCCCUCAAGUCACUAAAACACUUUUUGCACUUUUCCUGCAAAUCCACUGGCCACAUGGAAUGUGAUCAGCAAGAGAGUGGUGUUGAAGCCUUGCAUAUAAGCAAAUGGUAAAAAUGCCCAACGUAGUAAGAAGACUUACACUUACACAAUGUUUCCUGAAUUGCUUUACUGAUGUUUUCCUCUCAUGUCUUGUAGCCAACUCCAACCUCUAAGACAACAAACAACACCAUCUUCCAGACAUGCUCCACAAACUAGCCAUUCAAGCCACAGGGCAUUUACUUAGACAUUGGCGAUUGACUUGAGAUAACCCUUAAUUUUGGAGCAAGCUGAGCUUUUCAACAUGUACUUUGCAAGAUAAUACAACAUCUGGGAAUGCACAUUUCUUAUACAAGAAUACUUUACCAACUGUAAGUUCUAGAAAUGAAAUCUUCCUUUUGAACAUUAUGAUGUGGAGCACUCCUUCUGGGGUUUUAAUUGGGUUAUUUUCUCAGUAAGUAUACCAACUUAUCUCUAGGGUGCACGCGAAGUUCUAACAGAUAGUGUAAUUGUCAAGUAAAAGUUUAAAGAUGGGAGUGGACAGGGAGCUGCGGUCAAGAAAGAGGCAAACAACUAGAUGGGCAUGUGUACAUGUUCCUCCAGUGAACUCUCUACCACUCGACCAAGUGAUUUCUCUUGAAAGUCAAGUUCUCUCAAAAUUUGGUACAUGGGGGAUGCCUGCUUGCAAAACAGUUGUAAAUUAUUAGAGCCCAGUCCAUCUCCUAUUAUGAAAGCCUAGAAAAAUAGCGCACUUGUUUCUUCUGUAGAAAAUGGUUCUGAAGGAUUACUUCAUGUUGUACACCCUGAGGCAUUGAAUAAGAUUUAUACUAAGAUUGAAGAGGAUAACAUUGAUCUUGAAUAGUUAGAAAAAAAUGAAGGAAAAAGCUGCUGAGAGAGGUGGAACUAUUGAUCCUGGAUGGUAAGUACAAAUUUCCGAUAAGCAAUUGAAUGUAAGACUCAAUUCAAUGAGAAGUGUUGUAGGGCACUUAAAAGAUAGGCAAAUCUGGAAAGAAGAGAAACCAGGUACAAACUAUCUUUAGAAGUUACCACCUUUGUUGUAGCAGAGCAUGGACCAAAUAAGGGCUGCAACUCUAUUCUGUGGGUAUCUUUACCAUUGUUGCAAUGUUCAAAUAUGUGAAAUAUCAGCAUCUUUGAGGAAGGAUUUGCUGACCUAAAAUGUGGAAUUCAUAUUAUGUCA